RNAcentral lists this small RNA (154 nucleotides) under Kosakonia cowanii. Its description in RNAcentral is "sroC RNA". It matches the Rfam family "sroC RNA". Rfam says of the family: This family consists of a number of bacterial sroC RNA genes of around 160 bases in length. sroC is found in several Enterobacterial species. It base-pairs with GcvB. Lineage: Bacteria; Pseudomonadati; Pseudomonadota; Gammaproteobacteria; Enterobacterales; Enterobacteriaceae. The record is from RNAcentral.
ACUAAUUACAACCAUUAGGGGCGGGUUUACCUGCCCUCUCGAUUGUCGAAGCUGCACGGACAGACUAUGCGUUGAGUGGCCGUUCCCCACUCAGCGUGAACAUUCGCACUUCACACAAUCUUCGAGGGUAGCGCUGCUACCCUUUUUUUCUGGA